CGGGGUGCACCAGGCGCGAAAACUUUACAAUGCUGGCAACAGCGAUAAGGGGACCUCGAGUGCCAGGAUACAAUCUUGGCUGUCGCGAUGCCUAAAAAGCAUUGCAUAGCAAGGGCCGGGCAAGACCGGUGCCAGCCGCCGCGGUAACACCGGCGGCUCGAGUGGUAACCGCUAUUAUUGGGUCUAAAGGGUUUGUAGCCGGCCGGAUAAGUCUUUUGGGAAAUCCAGCUGCUCAACAGUUGGGCUUUCAGAAGAUACUGUUCGGCUCGAGACCGGGAGAGGUGAGAGGUACUUCAGGGGUAGGGGUGAAAUCUUGUAAUCCUUGAAGGACCACCAGUGGCGAAGGCGUCUCACCAGAACGGAUCUGACGGCAAGGGACGAAAGCUAGGGGCACGAACCGGAUUAGAUACCCGGGUAGUCCUAGCCGUAAACGAUACUCGCUAGGUGUCAGCCACGGUGCGACCGUGGUUGGUGCCGUAGGGAAGCCGCGAAGCGAGCCACCUGGGAAGUACGGCCGCAAGGCUGAAACUUAAAGGAAUUGGCGGGGGAGCAC
RNAcentral lists this ribosomal RNA (553 nucleotides) under uncultured archaeon. Its description in RNAcentral is "bacterial SSU rRNA". It matches the Rfam family "Archaeal small subunit ribosomal RNA", at positions 326 to 879 of the family's 1478-position model. The record is from RNAcentral.